RNAcentral lists this ribosomal RNA (474 nucleotides) under uncultured bacterium. Its description in RNAcentral is "partial 16S ribosomal RNA". It matches the Rfam family "Bacterial small subunit ribosomal RNA", at positions 28 to 507 of the family's 1533-position model. The record is from RNAcentral.
GACGAACGCUGGCGGCGUGCUUAACACAUGCAAGUCGAGCGGUAAGGCUCCUUCGGGAGUCCACGAGCGGCGAACGGGUGAGUAACACGUGAGUAAUCUGCCCUUCACUUCGGGAUAACCACCGGAAACGGUGGCUAAUACCGAAUACGACCAGUCUUCGCAUGAGGUGCUGGUGGAAAGUCUUUUCGGUGAAGGAUGUGCUCGCGGCCUAUCAGCUUGUUGGUGGGGUAAUGGCCUACCAAGGCUUCGACGGGUAGCCGGCCUGAGAGGGUGACCGGCCACACUGGGACUGAGACACGGCCCAGACUCCUACGGGAGGCAGCAGUGGGGAAUAUUGGACAAUGGGCGAAAGCCUGAUCCAGCAACGCCGCGUGAGGGAUGACGGCCGUCGGGUUGUAAACCUCUUUCAGUACCGACGAAGCGCCCUGUCGGGUGGUGACGGUAGGUACAGAAGAAGGACCGGCCAACUACGUG